AACGAACGCUAUCGGUAUGCUUAACACAUGCAAGUCGGACGGACUAAUUAGGGCUUGCUCCAAUUAGUUAGUGGCAGACGGGUGAGUAACACGUGGGAAUCUGCCCAUCAGUACGGAAUAACUUUUAGAAAUAAAAGCUAAUACCGUAUAUUCUCUACAGAGGAAAGAUUUAUCGCUGAUGGAUGAGCCCGCGUCAGAUUAGGUAGUUGGUGAGGUAACGGCUCACCAAGCCGACGAUCUGUAGCUGGUCUGAGAGGAUGAUCAGCCACACUGGGACUGAGACACGGCCCAGACUCCUACGGGAGGCAGCAGUGGGGAAUAUUGGACAAUGGGCGAAAGCCUGAUCCAGCAAUACCGAGUGAGUGAUAAAGGCUCUAGGGUUGUAAAGCUCUUUUAGCAAGGAAGAUAAUGACGUUACUUGCAGAAAAAGCCCCGGCUAACUCCGUG
RNAcentral lists this ribosomal RNA (447 nucleotides) under uncultured bacterium. Its description in RNAcentral is "partial 16S ribosomal RNA". It matches the Rfam family "Bacterial small subunit ribosomal RNA", at positions 29 to 507 of the family's 1533-position model. The record is from RNAcentral.